Molecule: transfer RNA, 75 nt
Filed under: Chloroflexota bacterium
Lineage: Bacteria; Bacillati; Chloroflexota
Description: Chloroflexi bacterium tRNA-His
Rfam family: tRNA
About the family: Transfer RNA (tRNA) molecules are approximately 80 nucleotides in length. Their secondary structure includes four short double-helical elements and three loops (D, anti-codon, and T loops).
Source: RNAcentral
GCGUCUGUAGCUCAAUGGCAGAGCACCAGAUUGUGGAUCUGGGGGUUGUGGGUUCGAGCCCCAUCAGACGCCCCU